This 391-nucleotide unclassified non-coding RNA is filed under the name soil metagenome. Its description in RNAcentral is "partial contains 5.8S ribosomal RNA, internal transcribed spacer 2, and large subunit ribosomal RNA". The stretch from base 1 to 122 matches the Rfam family "5.8S ribosomal RNA", at positions 35 to 154 of the family's 154-position model. The record is from RNAcentral.
GAUGAAGAACGUAGCGAAAUGCGAUACUUGGUGUGAAUUGCAGAAUCCCGUGAACCAUCGAGUCUUUGAACGCAAGUUGCGCCCGAAGCUACUAGGCCGAGGGCACGCCUGCCUGGGCGUCACACGCCGUUGCCCCCCCAUCUACUCCUUCGGGAUUGCGGGGGGGCGGAUGAUGGCCUCCCGUGCGCCUAGCCGCGCGGUUGGCAUAAAUACCAAGUCCUCGGCGACGCACGCCACGACAAUCGGUGGUUGCGAAACCUCGGUUGCCCGUCGUGUGCGUUCGUCGCGCAUCGAGGGCUCGAAAAAAUGCUCGGCUCCGGCUGGGCUUUCAACGCGACACCAGGUCAGGCGGGGUUACCCGCUGAAUUUAAGCAUAUCAAUAAGCGGAGGA